Molecule: long non-coding RNA, 1713 nt
Organism: Magnolia sinica
Lineage: Eukaryota; Viridiplantae; Streptophyta; Magnoliopsida; Magnoliales; Magnoliaceae
Exons: 2
Source: RefSeq, a predicted model, not a curated record
UUUCGUCAGUUUAGGGUCGAAUACAAAGGAAUUCAGGUUGGGUUUGGGUUAGGCAACUUGUAAUGGAAUUCAGUUGCUGACUCAGGUGUACUUGCUAUUGAGCCUUAACCUGUCCCAAGCAGAUUAAAAAAACAACAAAUAUACUAUUGUGGUUUUUUUUUUUUUUUUUUUUUUGUUUUUUGUUUUUCUUUUUGGAGAAAUUUCAGUGACAGACCAAUGGUAACUUUCAUAAAUCUAAAAGUUUCCAUCUUUGGCAAGGCAAUUCGCAUAUUAGAAUUCUAAGAACUGUAUUUUACAAAUCAUUGGAGAAAAUGGAGAGCCCAUAGAAAAAUUAUGCUGAAGAUAGCAAUAAGAAUCAGCUGAUGAUCUUCCUUUGGUCUGCUUGAGCUUAUAAUUGCAUUGCUUUGGGAUUAGUAAGUCUUCUAAAGGCUUAAGUUCUGAGUUUUUGGUUGAAUCGACAGUAUAAUUUCUUUAUAAUUGCUGAAAUUGAUUUCAAGAAAUUGAACGUUGAUGAUGUUCUUCAGAAUUUGCUUAUGUUCCAUUUAGAUUUUCUCAAGAUAUUGUUGAGGUUUAUGGUUAUCACAAUUUGGUGUUAUUAGUAUUGUAGUUUCGGUGAUUAUUGAAUCUAAUUAUGGGGCCAUUUGGAUGCAUCCUCUGAAGGGAUGUUUGAGCCCUAAACGCCAUUUUAAUCUAAACAAUUAGCUUUCAUUUAUCGUCAAGAAAAGAAUGUAAGCCCAACCUUUUCCUUUCAUUGGAGACAUAAUUUUUCAUCCAUUAAGCUUUUUAAUUCCUUCCUUUAUAUUCAAUCACCACUUUGUGGUUGUCAAUAUGGCUCGGUUGUGAAGUUUGUUGAUUUUUUGCAUGGAUUAUUCGAUAGUCGAGACCUAUUUCUUUUAGUGGUGCCCACCUGUAUGUAUGGUUGUCGAAUUUUUCAAAUCUACGAAGUUAUAUGUAUUGUCCCACCCUUUCUGAUAAAAAAAAGAAGUAAAUAAAUAAAAACUCAAGUUACAUGUGAUUUUGGGAACCAGUGCUGAUAAGUCAUCAUAUAAUGAAAUUAUAUUAAAUAAUCCUGACUUGGUGAGUAAUAUGUAUCACAUUUGAUAGAAUUGUCAUCUUUAGGAGACGUAGCCAAGUUCUGCAUUUCUUUUUUAUUCUUUUUUUUUUCCCUUUUUUUUUUUUUUGAAGGAUAAAUGAUGUUACGACACCUAAAUUUUUCGCUUGCUUGAAAAUGUAAAUAUCAUGAUAAUUAAAUAAACUAUUGUUAGAGUGCAAGUAGUAUUAUUUUUGGAAAAAUUGAUGUUUUUUUCUUUCAAUUUUCCCUUUUGUGGCCCAUUAUCAGGUCCACUAUUUUUAUCAUCAUCCCUGUUGAUUCCGUGAUCAGGUGGGCCACAAAGAACAAGAUAAGUUUUAGGCAUGGAUGAAUGGGAGCUAUAGAUCGAUGGAUUUUAUUUAUUUAUUUUUGAAACUGUUCAAUUUAUUAUUGUAAAUAUUAUUCGCGGCAGCUCGAUGCGUGUGAAAGGGCCACAUAGGCAUGUAUUUGUUUUUUACGAAAACAAUCACUAGGCACAAUCUACUUCCUAAGAGGAAUGUGAAAUCAGGUGGGCCUUAACCAAAACGGUCAAUGAUAAGGUCCAUCAUUUUAUGGAAUUAGGAGCAAGUACAUGUACGUUAAGUUGUGAUUCUGGAGCCACCAAAUGCACUCCCUUCAAUGCA